This is a long non-coding RNA of Lycium barbarum (goji berry), 1362 nucleotides long. RefSeq lists it as uncharacterized. The record is from RefSeq and is a predicted model, not a curated record. NCBI's taxonomy places the organism in Eukaryota, Viridiplantae, Streptophyta, Magnoliopsida, Solanales, Solanaceae. The transcript has 3 exons.
AUUUUUAUACAUUGGAACAACCCGGAUUAACUAUGAUAAUUUAAGGCCAAGAUUAUUCCGGGAUUUGAAGUCGGGACUUUUGACCAUUUGAUUUUAAUUUGAGAUAUAAGUCAUGUAUGAAAUUGAUGGCAUUGAACACUUAGGGAAAAUUGGGACUACAAUUCAUAAAAUUGGAAUUAAAAUGUUGUGCAAAAAAAAAAAAUUCCUUGGUGGCCAUGUAAAUGGGAAUUGGUCCCACACAUUGUGUGGCCAAUUUUAAUUGGUCCACCCCAUGUGUGGGCCAUGGACACUUGGACAAUAUUCAUAUAAGCACAAAAGAUGACCAAGUAGUCAUCUUUUCUACCAUUCCAUCAAAAAAAAAAAAGAGCAAGAAGUUGAAGAACAACUUCAACCACACGGCCAAGAACAAAAAAAAAACAAAUCCAAUUCAAGCCAUCCCAAAAUUAUUUCUUUGGUGUAAACCCACUAUUUUGAGGUCCCUAAGUAGUGUGGAAGUGUUGUUGGGGCGAUCAAAUCAUCCGUUUGGCAAGAUCACAAACCCUAACUAUUUGUGGGAUUGAAGAAGAAAGACCUUGGGGAGCCCGAGGCGUAGAUUUGGAUUAGCUUUAGAUUGAUUCGCUUGGAGUGCGUACGAGGUACAGACGCACAGCCUGGUGAUCCACCUGUUUAGGACACCCUUUCUGCUAUUCGGAGUGCUCCUCUCUUUCCGGAGCUUAUACUUUUGGUAUAUAUAUUUAUUAGUGCAUUUGUAUAUAUUCGUUCAUGGGUACGGCGGGGCCCUGUCCCGUCAUAUGAUUCUGUCGGUCUGUUUAGAGGUCUGUGGACAUGUUUGUGGGUUAGGGUCUUUCUGUAUGAAUGUAUGUACAUGUCGUUUGGGCGACCCUAUACGCCGAGGCGGCCGGUCCGCAUAUGUUUAUAUAUUGCUUGGUUAGCCCUGUGUGGCUUUCGUUGGUAUUUUCUGCGUGCAGGGUAUAUUGGAUAGUCCGUAAAACAAAGGAAACUCUGCCGAAAUUUUUCUGGAAAUUACCUAAAUUUGAAAUAAAGCCUUGUCGGCUUCCGCCAUAUACUAGAAUGAGUUGAUAGAAUUUGAGAUAAUAUUUAAUAGAUGGGUUCGGGUGCCCAGAUCGGGCACUAGUCACGGCCUACGGGGUUGGGUCGUGACAGAAGUGGUAUCAGAGCGGUUUGUCCUCGGAGUGUCCACAGAUCGUGUCUAGUAGAGUCUUGUUUAUCGGUGUGUUGUGCACCACAUCUAUAAACAGGAGGCUACAGGACAUUUAGGAUGUUGUCUUUUCUUCUGAUCUUAGAUCGUGCGAUAGAACUGUGCUAUUAGGAUGAUUCUGUUUUGAUCUGUUGUUGUUUUUC